Molecule: long non-coding RNA, 427 nt
Filed under: Chrysolophus pictus (golden pheasant)
Lineage: Eukaryota; Metazoa; Chordata; Aves; Galliformes; Phasianidae
Description: lncRNA (ENSCPIG00010002241.1)
Source: RNAcentral
AGUCAAUGUCGUGUAAGCCAGUCCACCUUUCUACAGCUCACCAGCUGCAUUCAGUGCCUGGCAAAUACUCCGUCCAGGGGGCUGUAUGGAUGCACUCUACACUUGUCUAUGCCCUCAGAAGCUGCCAUUGCUGCACCACCUGCAGAGCAGAUCAUCUAUCUGUACACCCAUACAGCUUCAGGUGACCUAGAAUUACACAUCCUGAGAUCAUGCUAGACCAAAAUAAGCUGCUCCUCGUGUGGCUACAGUAAGAUUUCAAGUGGCCUUUCCACUUCGGCUGUCACGGAGCCCGAGGAAUGACUGAAGUAAAUGGAGACUGUGCUGGCUGGGCAGCUGUCUUCAGUCACUUCUCACUUAGGCAACCCGGUGCGUGUGUUUGCGAAAUGCCACGCUCUCCCAGGGAAAUCUCUGCCAGUACCACGUUAAC